Molecule: ribosomal RNA, 374 nt
Filed under: uncultured bacterium
Lineage: Bacteria
Description: bacterial SSU rRNA
Rfam family: Bacterial small subunit ribosomal RNA
Source: RNAcentral
UAACACGUACUGUGCGAACGUUAUUCGGAAUCACUGGGCUUAAAGGGUGCGUAGGCGGCAAUUCAAGUCAGGUGUGAAAUGCCUGAGCUCAACUGAGGCAUUGCGCUUGAAACUGAACUGCUUGAGUAUCCCAGGGGUGUGCGGAACUGCCAGUGGAGCGGUGAAAUGUGUUGAUAUUGGCAGGAACACCGGAGGCGAAAGCGGCACACUGGGGGAUAACUGACGCUGAGGCACGAAAGCCAGGGGAGCGAACGGGAUUAGAUACCCCGGUAGUCCUGGCCGUAAACGAUGAGCACUGGGCGGGAGGGGGUUUCCCUUUUCUGCCGUAGCGAAAGCGUUAAGUGCUCCGCCUGGGGAGUAUGGUCGCAAGGCUG